This 253-nucleotide ribosomal RNA is filed under the name uncultured bacterium. RNAcentral describes it as "partial 16S ribosomal RNA". It matches the Rfam family "Bacterial small subunit ribosomal RNA", at positions 524 to 776 of the family's 1533-position model. The record is from RNAcentral.
UACGUAGGGGGCAAGCGUUGUCCGGAUUUACUGGGCGUAAAGAGCGCGCAGGCGGUCGGAUAAGUCGAAUGUGAAAGCCCCCGGCUCAACUGGGGAGGGUCACUCGAUACUGAUCGACUUGAAGGCAGGAGAGGGAAGCGGAAUUCCCGGUGUAGUGGUGAAAUGCGUAGAUAUCGGGAGGAACACCAGUGGCGAAGGCGGCUUCCUGGCCUGUUCUUGACGCUGAGGCGCGAAAGCUAGGGGAGCAAACGGG